CAGCGGCGGCGCGGGCUCGUGUCACCGCGGCGGAGCCGCCGGGACCAAGGGACACAGAGUAGGACAACUGCCGAGGAAGGGGGACAUUGAGGCAGCUUGCAGAAACACACAUGGAGAAACAGAACCAAAGAGCAGGGUAACCAGCAAACCAGGCAGUGGAGGCAGGGAUGGGUACCCAUCCCGAGAUCUUGGGUGAUACCAAAGGCGGCACAUCCGGAAGGCUGGUUAUACCUAGCGUGGAGGGGAGAGGGAGAACUGUUUCUUCCGUUCAAUAAAGCAAACCCUUCAACAAGA
Molecule: long non-coding RNA, 294 nt
Organism: Homo sapiens (human)
Lineage: Eukaryota; Metazoa; Chordata; Mammalia; Primates; Hominidae
Gene: BEND7-DT
Product: BEND7 divergent transcript
Exons: 2
Source: RefSeq, a predicted model, not a curated record